Molecule: ribosomal RNA, 546 nt
Filed under: uncultured bacterium
Lineage: Bacteria
Description: bacterial SSU rRNA
Rfam family: Bacterial small subunit ribosomal RNA
Source: RNAcentral
AGAGUUUGAUUAUGGCUCAGGAUGAACGCUGGCGGCAUGCCUAAUACAUGCAGGUCGAACGAACUACCCCUAUGACCUUGAAAGUGCUUGCACUGGAUUGUGAUUAGAAUUUGUAGUUAGUGGCGGACGGGUGAGUAACACGUGGGUUACCUGCCACGCAGAAUGGAAUAACUAUUGGAAACGAUAGCUAAUACCGUAUAUGACCUUCGGGUUGAAAGGAGCGUUUGCUUCGCUGUGUGAUGGGCCUGCGGCGCAUUAGCUAGUUGGUACGGUAAAGGCGUACCAAGGCGACGAUGCGUAGCCGGAGUGAGAGCUCGAUCGGCCACAUUGGGACUGAGACACGGCCCAAACUUCUACGGGAGGCAGCAGUAGGGAAUUUUCCGCAAUGGACGAAAGUCUGACGGAGCAAUGCCGCGUGAGUGAUGAAGGUUUUCGAAUCGUAAAGCUCUGUUGUAAGGGAAGAAUAGCAAGAAUAGGAAAUGAUUCUUGUCUGACGGUACCUUACCAGAAAGCCACGGCUAACUACGUGCCAGCAGCCGCGGUAAU